UUUUUUAUGGAGAGUUUGAUCCUGGCUCAGGACGAACGCUGGCGGCGUGCUUAACACAUGCAAGUCGAACGGAAAGGC
This 78-nucleotide ribosomal RNA is filed under the name Corynebacterium diphtheriae bv. gravis. RNAcentral describes it as "partial 16S ribosomal RNA". It matches the Rfam family "Bacterial small subunit ribosomal RNA", at positions 1 to 75 of the family's 1533-position model. Lineage: Bacteria; Bacillati; Actinomycetota; Actinomycetes; Mycobacteriales; Corynebacteriaceae. The record is from RNAcentral.